Molecule: ribosomal RNA, 1797 nt
Filed under: Salmonella enterica
Lineage: Bacteria; Pseudomonadati; Pseudomonadota; Gammaproteobacteria; Enterobacterales; Enterobacteriaceae
Description: partial 23S ribosomal RNA
Rfam family: Bacterial large subunit ribosomal RNA
Source: RNAcentral
GAGGUUAAGCGACUAAGCGUACACGGUGGAUGCCCUGGCAGUCAGAGGCGAUGAAGGACGUGCUAAUCUGCGAUAAGCGCCGGUAAGGUGAUAUGAACCGUUAUAACCGGCGAUUUCCGAAUGGGGAAACCCAGUGUGACUCGUCACACUAUCAUUAACUGAAUCCAUAGGUUAAUGAGGCGAACCGGGGGAACUGAAACAUCUAAGUACCCCGAGGAAAAGAAAUCAACCGAGAUUCCCCCAGUAGCGGCGAGCGAACGGGGAGGAGCCCAGAGCCUGAAUCAGCAUGUGUGUUAGUGGAAGCGUCUGGAAAGGCGCGCGAUACAGGGUGACAGCCCCGUACACAAAAGCGCAUGUGCUGUGAGCUCGAUGAGUAGGGCGGGACACGUGGUAUCCUGUCUGAAUAUGGGGGGACCAUCCUCCAAGGCUAAAUACUCCUGACUGACCGAUAGUGAACCAGUACCGUGAGGGAAAGGCGAAAAGAACCCCGGCGAGGGGAGUGAAAAAGAACCUGAAACCGUGUACGUACAAGCAGUGGGAGCCCCACCACUAAGCCAGUGGUGAACUCCACAUACGCAUCCUUUGCUGAGGAUACGGUUAACGGAGCGAAAGCGACGUUCAACCGCAAAAGAAGCAGAGGGGGCUUAGUGGUGGGGUGACUGCGUACCUUUUGUAUAAUGGGUCAGCGACUUAUAUUCUGUAGCAAGGUUAACCGAAUAGGGGAGCCGGAGGGAAACCGAGUCUUAAUUGGGCGUUAAGUUGCAGGGUAUAGACCCGAAACCCGGUGAUCUAGCCAUGGGCAGGUUGAAGGUUGGGUAACACUAACUGGAGGACCGAACCGACUAAUGUUGAAAAAUUAGCGGAUGACCUGUGGCUGGGGGUGAAAGGCCAAUCAAACCGGGAGAUAGCUGGUUCUCCCCGAAAGCUAUUUAGGUAGCGCCUCGUGAAUUCAUCUCCGGGGGUAGAGCACUGUUUCGGCUAGGGGGCCAUCCCGGCUUACCAACCCGAUGCAAACUGCGAAUACCGGAGAAUGUUAUCACGGGAGACACACGGCGGGUGCUAACGUCCGUCGUGAAGAGGGAAACAACCCAGACCGCCAGCUAAGGUCCCAAAGUCAUGGUUAAGUGGGAAACGAUGUGGGAAGGCCCAGACAGCCAGGAUGUUGGCUUAGAAGCAGCCAUCAUUUAAAGAAAGCGUAAUAGCUCACUGGUCGAGUCGGCCUGCGCGGAAGAUGUAACGGGGCUAAACCAUGCACCGAAGCUGCGGCAGCGACGCUGAUGCGUUGUUGGGUAGGGGAGCGUUCUGUAAGCCUGUGAAGGUGGCCUGUGAGGGUUGCUGGAGGUAUCAGAAGUGCGAAUGCUGACAUAAGUAACGAUAAAGCGGGUGAAAAGCCCGCUCGCCGGAAGACCAAGGGUUCCUGUCCAACGUUAAUCGGGGCAGGGUGAGUCGACCCCUAAGGCGAGGCCGAAAGGCGUAGUCGAUGGGAAACGGGUUAAUAUUCCCGUACUUGGUGUUACUGCGAAGGGGGGACGGAGAAGGCUAUGUUGGCCGGGCGACGGUUGUCCCGGUUUAAGCGUGUAGGUGUGUGUUCCAGGUAAAUCCGGUUCACUUUAACACUGAGGCGUGAUGACGAGGCACUACGGUGCUGAAGCAACAAAUGCCCUGCUUCCAGGAAAAGCCUCUAAGCAUCAGGUAACAUCAAAUCGUACCCCAAACCGACACAGGUGGUCAGGUAGAGAAUACCAAGGCGCUUGAGAGAACUCGGGUGAAGGAACUAGGCAAAAUGGUGCCGUAACU